CUGCAAUGAGGGGCAGGGAGUGGACAUAUUUCAGAUCAAUCCACCCUAGACAAAUAUUCAUUCCCUUUCACUGUCCCCUGUGCAGUAAUAACAAUGUGACCUUUAGAAAGAGUAUAAAGCCUGGACAGGGCAAAAUGAGAAGACACCCCUCUAUGUGUAAAUCCCCUACGGGAUCCCUCUAGGUGGUAAUAUUGAUCAUAGGAAUGUAUGGAGGCUUCUGGAUGGCCCAAGAUAUUUGAUGGUGAAGAUGCAUAUUCCCCUACAGUAUCUGGGGGCAAUGACCCAUUUCUUUGGGUCUCCUGACCUCCAUUUGUGCUCUUUGUUUCAGCUCUUGCCUAUUUGCUGUUUGACGAAGAACCCUCCAUUGGUAGAGAGAUCUUUGCCAUCUUUGAGCAGAUGAACUGGCCUGCACCAUGCAGACAGUCGUCCUCACUGAGAAGCCACUUCUACUACAGCUUCUCAUGAUUGGCUCAGGAAGCCAGAAGAAAUUGGACAGUCGCUCUCCUGAAAAGGCUCUCCUCCUGCUUCUGUUGUGUCUCUUGUAUGAAAUCUUCUCCAGACCAGGGAACA
Molecule: long non-coding RNA, 570 nt
Organism: Mauremys mutica (yellowpond turtle)
Lineage: Eukaryota; Metazoa; Chordata; Testudines; Geoemydidae
Exons: 3
Source: RefSeq, a predicted model, not a curated record